This 28-nucleotide small RNA is filed under the name Bombyx mori (domestic silkworm). RNAcentral's name for it is "piRNA piR-bmo-1796528". Lineage: Eukaryota; Metazoa; Arthropoda; Insecta; Lepidoptera; Bombycidae. The record is from RNAcentral.
UCACUGAUGUCUCGUAGGUGCGAAUACU